GGGAAACAAAGUCCAUUGCGACCUUGAUGCAAGACUGCAAAUUCAAAUAGAAACGGAUUCAGUUUUUAAGCAAUGGGAUAAUUAUUGCUACAUUCAAAUAGAAUGAAAAAAAGGGCUGGUUAAGUUCUCUUACCUUCAAGUUUCGGACUUGGUGAGGACAUCCAGCAGGAAUGAAAACCGCUUCACCAAGCUUCUGCUCAAACGUCCAGGGUUCCACACCUAUAUAACAGGCAAGCCAUGACAUAAGAGAAACAAGGCUACAGCAUGAAAGGCUGCAUUUCUGAGCAUAGGAAAAACAGGGGAAAUAAACUCCCCACAAAUACAAGGAAAACAAUACCUGCUUCACAGGAUUGCAAUGGAGGUGCCUGAAUUCCGAGGCGUGUUUCUUAAGGUAAUCUUGUAGCUUGUCAGAAUCCUCUCUUCGGAAAAUAUCCCACAAGGCACCACCAGUUCUCUCGUGCUCUCCACUCUCCAUAUUGUCCGAAAUACAAUGAGCUCCAUUAUGCAUCAUUGCUGAACUACCACUGCCAAUGUAAUUGGAACACUGUGCUGCCUUGCUUUGUACCUUAGAUCCAUGAGAUGGAUGUUUAUCCCUAACAUCACCUUCACUAUCAAUAGGUGUUACAGCAUUGUUGUCCAGACCUGCACAGUGAAAACAAGAAUGUUGUAUUAAGUUAAAAAUCAAGGACAACUGAAAGUAAACAUGUACAACUCACCAUCAGAAAUAGCUUUACAGAUACUAUCAUUACAUGAGGUCUUUGAUGUUUCAUCCAUAGUUACAUUCUUGGAAUUAGUAGAAAUUUGUGAUAGGUUGUGUUCUGAAACGCCAUAAAAUUCCUGAAGAUCUUGUUCUUUCAUUUUCUUUCUGGUCUUCUCUAUCUCCUUAAGUGGAUAAGUCUCGUAGGGUACUUCUGCUGUGUGUGUUAAAAUAUUUACCUGAUCAAAGAAAGACACAUGUCACAAUUAAUUCCUGCCAUGAUAAACUAGUGAAACCCAAGCAAUUGACAAAUAAGAAAUAAAGAACCAUCACUUGUUACCAGCUGGGUGUACAGCCAAAGCUUGAAAAAGCUAGGUCAGAGAAAGUGAUGUAAAAAAAAGUGAUAUGCAUGUUACCCAGUACAAGAUAUAGCAUUGCGUAAGUCAAUUUUAUUCCACAUUGAAGGUACAAAACAACCACAAUUGUUAGAAUAUGAGAAAAAGGAUCACCAUUAACAAAGCAUACCGCAUCAGACAUGUCACAGUGAAGCUUGGUCACAGAAUCACCCCUGCCUAACUCUUGUUUAAAUCCAUAAGCAAUGUAAGUUUUGGGUCCAAGAUCUGGCUUCAGGGCACCAUUAGGAAGCUUGACUGCAAGAUUUAGUGGACCAUAUCGA
Long non-coding RNA from Panicum virgatum (switchgrass), 1373 nucleotides. RefSeq lists it as uncharacterized. Lineage: Eukaryota; Viridiplantae; Streptophyta; Magnoliopsida; Poales; Poaceae. The transcript has 2 exons. The record is from RefSeq and is a predicted model, not a curated record.